RNAcentral lists this ribosomal RNA (254 nucleotides) under uncultured bacterium. RNAcentral describes it as "partial 16S ribosomal RNA". It matches the Rfam family "Bacterial small subunit ribosomal RNA", at positions 524 to 776 of the family's 1533-position model. The record is from RNAcentral.
UACGUAGGGUCCGAGCGUUGUCCGGAAUUAUUGGGCGUAAAGAGCUCGUAGGCGGUGUGUCGCGUCGGCCGUGAAAACCUGUGGCUUAACUGCGGGCUUGCGGUCGAUACGGGCAUCACUGGAGUUCGGCAGGGGAGACUGGAAUUCCUGGUGUAGCGGUGAAAUGCGCAGAUAUCAGGAGGAACACCGGUGGCGAAGGCGGGUCUCUGGGCCGAUACUGACGCUGAGGAGCGAAAGCGUGGGGAGCGAACAGG